Molecule: ribosomal RNA, 425 nt
Filed under: uncultured bacterium
Lineage: Bacteria
Description: partial 16S ribosomal RNA
Rfam family: Bacterial small subunit ribosomal RNA
Source: RNAcentral
GUAGGGAAUAUUGGACAAUGGGCGCAAGCCUGAUCCAGCCAUGCCGCGUGAGUGAUGAAGGCCUUAGGGUUGUAAAGCUCUUUCAGUGGGGACGAUAAUGACGGUACCCACAGAAGAAGCCCCGGCUAACUUCGUGCCAGCAGCCGCGGUAAUACGAAGGGGGCUAGCGUUGUUCGGAUUUACUGGGCGUAAAGCGCACGUAGGCGGAUCGUUAAGUCGGGGGUGAAAUCCUGGAGCUCAACUCCAGAACUGCCUUCGAUACUGGCGAUCUUGAGUCCGGAAGAGGUGAGUGGAACUCCUAGUGUAGAGGUGGAAUUCGUAGAUAUUAGGAAGAACACCAGUGGCGAAGGCGGCUCACUGGUCCGGUACUGACGCUGAGGUGCGAAAGCGUGGGGAGCAAACAGGAUUAGAAACCCGGGUAGUCC